UACAGAGGUCUCAAGCGUUGUUCGGAUUCAUUGGGCGUAAAGGGUGCGUAGGCGGCGCGGUAAGUCGGGUGCGAAAUCUUGGAGCUUAACUCCGAAACUGCAUUCGAUACUGCCGUGCUUGAGGACUGGAGAGGAGACUGGAAUUUACGGUGUAGCGGUGAAAUGCGUAGAUAUCUGGAGGAACACCGGUGGCGAAGGCGGCAUCCUGGACCGGCAUUGACGCUGAGGCGCGAAAGCCAGGGGAGCAAACGGG
RNAcentral lists this ribosomal RNA (253 nucleotides) under uncultured bacterium. RNAcentral describes it as "partial 16S ribosomal RNA". It matches the Rfam family "Bacterial small subunit ribosomal RNA", at positions 524 to 776 of the family's 1533-position model. The record is from RNAcentral.